AACAAGCCACACACAACAGUGUCUCUUUGGGGCUUCAUACUUAAAUGUUAUUUUUUUUCCCCCUAGAGUAACAGGAGAAGAAUAGGCAGUGACAACUGAUGGAAGAGGAAUUUGAGCAUCUGGAACAGGAGACAGGGAAAUAAAUUGCUUUAAUUCAGCCAGGGAUGUGAAGAGCUGCUCUUCAUCAUGGAAGAAGUAGACGUUUAGCAUUUUUUGUGAAGCUGCUGCUGGACACCUUCCACCCUGACCUGGCAGCGCUCAGAUUGCUGCUCCUGAAAUACAGAGAGGAAUAAAAUCUGAUGCUCUGGGGGAUGUUCCCCUGGGCAUCAUGCUAAGCUCUAGCAGGAUCAGACUGUUGCAUUGAUGCAAGUGAUGGGAAAAGGCACGGUGAUGUAUUUUAAAUCACUUUCCGGAAGAGCGUAUUGACAGGUCCUUAAUAAAUGCUAAGUAAAU
This 453-nucleotide long non-coding RNA is filed under the name Cyanistes caeruleus (blue tit). RNAcentral describes it as "lncRNA (ENSCCEG00000002372.1)". The record is from RNAcentral. Lineage: Eukaryota; Metazoa; Chordata; Aves; Passeriformes; Paridae.